RNAcentral lists this ribosomal RNA (1394 nucleotides) under uncultured bacterium. RNAcentral's name for it is "bacterial SSU rRNA". It matches the Rfam family "Bacterial small subunit ribosomal RNA". The record is from RNAcentral.
AGAGUUUGAUCCUGGCUCAGGAUGAACGCUGGCGGCGUGCUUAACACAUGCAAGUCGAACGAAGCACUUUAUUUGAUUUCCUUCGGGACUGAUUAUUUUGUGACUGAGUGGCGGACGGGUGAGUAACGCGUGGGUAACCUGCCUUGUACAGGGGGAUAACAGUUGGAAACGGCUGCUAAUACCGCAUAAGCGCACAGCAUCGCAUGAUGCAGUGUGAAAAACUCCGGUGGUAUAAGAUGGACCCGCGUUGGAUUAGCUAGUUGGUGAGGUAACGGCCCACCAAGGCGACGAUCCAUAGCCGACCUGAGAGGGUGACCGGCCACAUUGGGACUGAGACACGGCCCAAACUCCUACGGGAGGCAGCAGUGGGGAAUAUUGCACAAUGGGCGAAAGCCUGAUGCAGCGACGCCGCGUGAGCGAAGAAGUAUUUCGGUAUGUAAAGCUCUAUCAGCAGGGAAGAUAAUGACGGUACCUGACUAAGAAGCACCGGCUAAAUACGUGCCAGCAGCCGCGGUAAUACGUAUGGUGCAAGCGUUAUCCGGAUUUACUGGGUGUAAAGGGAGCGCAGGCGGUGCGGCAAGUCUGAUGUGAAAGCCCGGGGCUCAACCCCGGUACUGCAUUGGAAACUGUCGUACUAGAGUGUCGGAGGGGUAAGCGGAAUUCCUAGUGUAGCGGUGAAAUGCGUAGAUAUUAGGAGGAACACCAGUGGCGAAGGCGGCUUACUGGACGAUAACUGACGCUGAGGCUCGAAAGCGUGGGGAGCAAACAGGAUUAGAUACCCUGGUAGUCCACGCCGUAAACGAUGAAUACUAGUCGUGGGGAAACAUUGUUUUUCGGCGCCCGCCACAACCUCAGUAAUCAUCCCCCCUGGGGAAUUCCUUUCCCAAAAAAGAAACUCAAAGGAAUUGACGGGCGACCCGCACAAGCGGUGGAGCAUGUGGUUUAUUCGAAGCAACGCGAAGAACCUUACCAAGUCUUGACAUCCUUCUAACCGGUACUUAACCGUACCUUCUCUUCGGAGCAGGAGUGACAGGUGGUGCAUGGUUGUCGUCAGCUCGUGUCGUGAGAUGUUGGGUUAAGUCCCGCAACGAGCGCAACCCUUAUCUUUAGUAGCCAGCGGUUCGGCCGGGCACUCUAGAGAGACUGCCAGGGAUAACCUGGAGGAAGGCGGGGAUGACGUCAAAUCAUCAUGCCCCUUAUGACUUGGGCUACACACGUGCUACAAUGGCGUAAACAAAGGGAAGCAAAGCUGUGAAGCCGAGCAAAUCUCAAAAAUAACGUCUCAGUUCGGACUGUAGUCUGCAACCCGACUACACGAAGCUGGAAUCGCUAGUAAUCGCAGAUCAGAAUGCUGCGGUGAAUACGUUCCCGGGUCUUGUACACACCGCCCGUCA